Molecule: long non-coding RNA, 444 nt
Filed under: Parus major (Great Tit)
Lineage: Eukaryota; Metazoa; Chordata; Aves; Passeriformes; Paridae
Description: lncRNA (ENSPMJG00000008550.1)
Source: RNAcentral
GAAAGCAAUACCCAAAAUAUCUGUGUGACUCCAACAUGAACAAAACCAUUGAGAGGCCCAAGAACUCAGAAACCCACCAAACGGAGAAAUUCUUGACUGGAAUUUGGGUUCCCAAGAGAAGAGUUUAAAAUCCUUGUGGAUCUUCUAUCAGGAUUUCUCCAGUGAUAUGAUAGAUGUGGUUGAUAUAUUGUUUGAGGCUGUUGUAGAAGCUGCUUCAUGUCAACAUCAACAGGAGGUGAAACCCCACAUGAGCCACCAUGUAAGGCCGAGACUGAAAAUAGAGAUCUUGCAUUUCUGCAGAACAGCAAAGUGACAGGAAAGGAAAAAUGAGAACUUCUGUAAUGAAAGGUAAGCCUCUUGCUGGAGGAGGAGGCACAGUCAAUUUCUUAGGAAUAUGCUAUCUGAAGACCUAUGAUAGCUGAAAAGCCCAGCAGUAUAAGAAAG